RNAcentral lists this ribosomal RNA (253 nucleotides) under uncultured bacterium. RNAcentral's name for it is "partial 16S ribosomal RNA". It matches the Rfam family "Bacterial small subunit ribosomal RNA", at positions 524 to 776 of the family's 1533-position model. The record is from RNAcentral.
UACGUAGGGACCAAGCGUUGUUCGGAAUUACUGGGCGUAAAGCGCACGUAGGCGGAUUGUUAAGUCAGAGGUGAAAUCCCGGAGCUCAACUUCGGAACUGCCUUUGAUACUGGCAAUCUCGAGUCCGGAAGAGGUUAGUGGAAUUCCCAGUGUAGAGGUGAAAUUCGUAGAUAUUGGGAAGAACACCAGUGGCGAAGGCGGCUAACUGGUCCGGUACUGACGCUGAGGUGCGAAAGCGUGGGGAGCAAACCGG